This 500-nucleotide ribosomal RNA is filed under the name uncultured bacterium. RNAcentral describes it as "partial 16S ribosomal RNA". It matches the Rfam family "Bacterial small subunit ribosomal RNA", at positions 30 to 523 of the family's 1533-position model. The record is from RNAcentral.
AUUGAACGCUGGCGGAAUGCUUUACACAUGCAAGUCGAACGGCAGCACGGACUUCGGUCUGGUGGCGAGUGGCGAACGGGUGAGUAAUGUAUCGGAACGUGCCCAGUCGUGGGGGAUAACGUAGUGAAAAUUACGCUAAUACCGCAUACGAUCUAUGGAUGAAAGCGGGGGAUCGCAAGACCUCGCGCGAUUGGAGCAGCCGAUAUCAGAUUAGGUAGUUGGUGGGGUAAAGGCCCACCAAGCCAACGAUCUGUAGCUGGUCUGAGAGGACGACCAGCCAAACUGGAACUGAGACACGGUCCAGACACCUACGGGAGGCAGCAGUGGGGAAUUUUGGACAAUGGGCGAAAGCCUGAUCCAGCCAUUCCGCGUGCAGGAUGAAGGCCCUCGGGUUGUAAACUGCUUUUGUACAGAACGAAAAGGUUUCUACUAAUACUAGGAGCUCAUGACGGUACUGUAAGAAUAAGCACCGGCUAACUACGUGCCAGCCGCCGCGGUAA